This 260-nucleotide unclassified non-coding RNA is filed under the name uncultured Verticillium. Its description in RNAcentral is "sequence contains ITS2". Lineage: Eukaryota; Fungi; Ascomycota; Sordariomycetes; Hypocreales. The record is from RNAcentral.
AACGCACAUGGCGCCUUCCAGUAUCCUGGGAGGCAUGCCUGUCCGAGCGUCGUUUCAACCCUCGAGCCCCAGUGGCCCGGUGUUGGGGAUCUACGUCUGUAGGCCCUUAAAAUCAGUGGCGGACCCGCGUGGCCCUUCCUUGCGUAGUAAUUUUCGCUCGCAUCGGAGUCCCGCAGGCACCAGCCUCUAAACCCCCUACAAGCCCGCCUCGUGCGGCAACGGUUGACCUCGGAUCAGGUAGGAAUACCCGCUGAACUUAA